This 2550-nucleotide long non-coding RNA is filed under the name Triticum aestivum (bread wheat). RNAcentral's name for it is "long non-coding RNA (TAES_LNC018320)". The record is from RNAcentral. Lineage: Eukaryota; Viridiplantae; Streptophyta; Magnoliopsida; Poales; Poaceae.
GAGCUAUCAGAAAUUGGCAUUAUAUGGCUAAUGAUCAUAUUAUAUAGAGUAGCAACAACACCACUUUAAUUACCAGCGUACAUAUAAUGAACAUGUGCCUAUAGUCAACAUGUAAUGUUGUACCUCAACCGGUCUAACUACAUAACUAGAUAUCCUUUAAGCAAGUCAGAGCAUGCUUUUCAAUCCAGGUGGAUAAACUAAACAACUUUUUAGAUAAAUCGCAAUCAAUAAAGGGAACUAAAGCUAAAAAGUAUAUAGUAGCAGUGACCUAGAGCCUAGAACAUUCGUUUUAUAAAGGUUGUCCACAACUAAAAGACCGUCAUAGAAAUACAGAGAGCAAAACCGCAGUUGAAUUGGUUGCUGGAAGGGUUGCUACGUUAUCCGACGGGGCCGCCUCACGGCGUACCCUUCCUCUACCGGUCACCGGAACAGCUCCAACUCCCUCUGCGUGCAAGAGCCCAUCACACACCAAGAAUCACCAAGAGGCCAACAAUGUUGCAUAAAAUAGGUAGACAUGGAUCAGAUACGCAAGAUCUACAUCACGAAGCAAGCAUAAGAGGAAGGAAAAAAGCUGACCUUGCCCGAAGGGAAGGGAGGACGCGCUGCCAUCGGCAUGAGUUGAAGGGAGAGCAGCCGAGCUUAUCUGGAAGUAGGUGGCAUCUGUCCGCCUCACACCAACAGGAAGAGAGAGCACCACAUUUAUAAAUCUAGCCUUUUCUUUUAGUUCCUCAUAAUUUGCUUUUGAUAAGGUCUCUUCUAUAUGUAAAGGAGAUGCUGACAAACAAUAUAGGUGCUUCACACAACUAAACUGCCAACGGAUGACUGAAUGAAUGUAGGUCUGAAAUCCAAGUUGAGUACCCCCAAGAAUUGAACGAUAAAGGAAUUAGCAUCCUCAUAAUUUGCUUUUGAUAAGGUCUCUUCUAUAUGUAAAGGAGAUGCUGACAAACAAUAUAGGUGCUUCACACAACUAAACUGCCAACAGAUGACUGACUGAAUGUAGGUCUGAAAUCCAAGCUGAGUACCCCCAAUAAUUGAGCGAUAAAGGAAUUAGCAUUGUAUAGAAACAAUUUGCAGGACAUGAUGGUUUCUGCAGCUCACAACCAUAUAUAACCGCAAACAAAGCUAAACUGCUGCUAAGAAGCUAGCAGGCAACUAAAGUCUGUGAAACUGAUGAACUACUAUUUGUUAGCCAAAGGAAAAAAAUUCCAAGAAAACCAAAGAACGACACAGGAGCCAUCAUGGCUAUACCAACAUCAUAUUAAGAAAUGCAAAGGAAUAGCUAAAGAACAAUUACUUCAAUAGCCCAGCUUAGCUUAUAUAAUGCACCACAUAUGUUGCAUGUUGACUGAAACCAAACUAUUUCCUAAAACUAUGUCUCAAGAAUAUCCUAUUUAAAAUUUAGAGGAAGUAAGAUGCCAAAGCAAGCAAAUUUAAUGUAUAUGGGAGGGCUUUCCACCUGGAUUUUAUUACCGUAUCAGGAAGUUCAUGUCUAGAGCUGCGGAGGCAAAAAGGUCCAGAGAAAUAAUGUUGCACAGAAGCAGCAUAGGCAAGCUUCCAUGGACUGCUCAGCAUUUCUAAUGUUCAGAAAUGAGAAGUCGAGAUAUGGAUUGAGCAUCAGUAUUAUUUCAACCUGCGUAAAAUCAAAUCAAAUGUAUGAGUACUAUUGCUUUUCAGAUUCAAAAUGAUCAAAAGUAAUGAAAUAACGCCAAAGUCAAUCGACAACAUGAUUUGGGACCAGAAAGCUAUUAAACCAUUUAUAGGAAAAGUGUCACAUAAUAUGUUACUAUGACAGGUUUAUUGAAGACAGAAUAAUCAUGAGCAAUCCAAAAUGAAGAAAGUAAUUUCUUACAUAAACAACAGCCAGCUGAGCUGCCGCCAAUUCAUGUUCCUGCAACCUGUAAUAACACACUCGGGUUAAUGGGAUAAGAACACGUAUUAUUUUUAGUGCAAACAAAACUGAUUACCCUUAAAGAUAAACCAGGUGUUGUAAUUGAAGUAACUGUAAGAAAAUAUCAUCACUGCGCUUUUGAACCUGCAGCUAACAAAAAAGAUAGAUCAGAAUGCCCGUUAAGAUACACUUGCCAGUCAAAAGUGACUAUAAGUUGGUUGAGGAAACAUGAGUAACACCCAUGUUGCAGAUUUAUAUGAACAGGAAAGGAUACCACAUAUGGCAACAUGACAGUCAUGUAGUUCUAAAUCAAGGGUUCAUUCAGGAAAGCAGACAACAUCAAAAGUGCUCAUUCAUAUGAACCAAAUAACGUAAUAUUUGCCAAGAACACAAGGGUGUAAAAUUAUAAUAACAGCAUGAAUCGCCGUCUCAAUCAAUAACUUAAGCUAGGAAAAAAGAGAGUAAAUCAUUCCCGCUGGUGUUUUAUUUCCAUUCACGAGUCAUUGUCAUCAAAUUAUCUUGUCUCUUCCUUUGUGUGAGAUUGCACCUACAUAUUCAUGUCAGAAUCAUACAUGAGAUUUUUUACUGACAUAAUUAAACAAAGAUCAUGCUUUGAAUAAAUCCUGACUGGACGCUAGCAUUUAUACCAUGGUUUGUAGCAC